CCUACGGGAGGCUGCAGUGGGGAAUAUUGGACAAUGGGGGGAACCCUGAUCCAGCCAUGCCGCGUGUGUGAUGAAGGCCCUCGGGUUGUAAAGCACUUUCAGUGAGGAAGAACGCCUGGUGGUUAAUACCCAUCAGGAAAGACAUCACUCACAGAAGAAGCACCGGCUAACUCCGUGCCAGCAGCCGCGGUAAUACGGAGGGUGCGAGCGUUAAUCGGAAUUACUGGGCGUAAAGCGCGCGUAGGUGGCUUGAUAAGCCGGUUGUGAAAGCCCCGGGCUCAACCUGGGAACGGCAUCCGGAACUGUCAAGCUAGAGUGCAGGAGAGGAAGGUAGAAUUCCCGGUGUAGCGGUGAAAUGCGUAGAGAUCGGGAGGAAUACCAGUGGCGAAGGCGGCCUUCUGGACUGACACUGACACUGAGGUGCGAAAGCGUGGGUAGCAAACAGGAUUAGAUACCCGUGUAGUC
Molecule: ribosomal RNA, 465 nt
Filed under: Vreelandella stevensii
Lineage: Bacteria; Pseudomonadati; Pseudomonadota; Gammaproteobacteria; Oceanospirillales; Halomonadaceae
Description: partial 16S ribosomal RNA
Rfam family: Bacterial small subunit ribosomal RNA
Source: RNAcentral